Acinonyx jubatus (cheetah) is the source of this 1271-nucleotide long non-coding RNA. RefSeq lists it as uncharacterized. The record is from RefSeq and is a predicted model, not a curated record. The transcript has 2 exons. NCBI's taxonomy places the organism in Eukaryota, Metazoa, Chordata, Mammalia, Carnivora, Felidae.
UCUCAAAUAAACUUUUAAAAUAUUAAAAUUUAAAAAAAAGAUACAGAACAUUUUCUUUACCAGAAAAAAUUGAUCUUCCUUCACAAUCUCUCCACAUCCCUUAGGUAACCACCAAUCCACUUUCUGUUACUGGAGAUGAAUUUUGCUUGUUCUAGAAUUUCUUAUAGAUUGAAUCAGUAUGUACUCUUGUGUCUAGUUUUUUUAGCUUACAUGUUUUGAAAUUCAGGCUAUUGCAUAUGUCUGUAGUUUUUUCCUUUUCAUCUCUGUUCCAUUGCAGUAUAUUACAAUUUGUUUAUCUGUGUGUCUACUGAUGGAUUUCUGGUCUAUUUCUAGGUGAGGUUAUUAUGAAUAAAGCCGCUACAAACAAAUGUACAAGUCUUUGUAUGGAUCUAUGUUUCCCUUUCUUUCUGAGCGAUCUCUUCUGUGACCAGUGGUACGAUGGCCUUGUACUGGGUCAGCUUAGCCGAGCCAGAAUGGUGUUUCCCGAAAUUACUCUCCUACAGGGUUGUGGGUUAGCACGGCUGCCCAAGUCGUUUUGUGUCAGAUUUAGAAGGUGGAAAUGGAGCGGCAACCAUGUUACUUUUCACGCUUGGAAAGAUGAGGCCGUCUAGGAAUCACUGUUGCCGAUUCAGUUAUGUUGUAACUUCGCAGUUGGCUCGCAAAUGCAAACGGCCCAACGCAGCAUCUGGGCCUGCGGCAGCCGUGACUCCGCUCUGCUCCCCUUGGGUUUCUCCCAGUUCUGGGCCUGAUGUGUGUUUAAACCUCUGCCGCCCUCCAUCUCAAAGGGGUGGUGAGGGGUUGACAAAGGCACCGGUCCACCGUCCUGAGUUGCACAGUCUCCCAAGUGCUAGUCCGUCCUCGUCGCCCCCUCGUGCCCACCUCACAUUUGCCUCUCCUUCCUGACUUCCUCCUCCACAGACUUCAGAUCCCAACACCAGACGGAAACGAUCACCUCCUAUGAACUGUAACCAGCCUUCACAGUUAGCUGUGGUCAAAUCCUCGCUUCUCUGAUGGAACACUGAUAAAGAACCUGCCACUGAAAGUGAUCCCAGGGGUCAGAAUCUUAAGAAUCAGACCUCUGUUGGGGCACCUGGGGGGCUCAGUCGGUUGAGCAUCCGACUUCAGUUCAGGUCAUGAUCUCACAGUUCAUGGGUUGGAGCCCUGGUUCAGGCUCUGUGCUGACAGCUCAGAGCCUCGAGCCUGUCUCAGAUUCUGUGUCUCCCUCUCUCUCUGCCCCUCCCCCGCUAACACUCUGUGUCUCUCUCUCUCUC